ACGGUCUCAGUUCAGAUUGCAGGCUGCAACUCGCCUGCAUGAAGUUGGAAUUGCUAGUAAUCGCGAAUCAGAAUGUCGCGGUGAAUACGUUCCCGGGCCUUGUACACACCGCCCGUCAAACCAUGAGAGUUGGCAACACCCGAAGUCGGUAGUCUAACCGCAAGGAGGACGCCGCCGAAGGUGGGGUUGAUGAUUAGGGUUAAGUCGUAACAAGGUACC
Molecule: ribosomal RNA, 219 nt
Filed under: uncultured bacterium
Lineage: Bacteria
Description: partial 16S ribosomal RNA
Rfam family: Bacterial small subunit ribosomal RNA
Source: RNAcentral